RNAcentral lists this long non-coding RNA (273 nucleotides) under Mytilus galloprovincialis (Mediterranean mussel). Lineage: Eukaryota; Metazoa; Mollusca; Bivalvia; Mytilida; Mytilidae. The record is from RNAcentral.
UAUAUCAUUUAGGGAGCUACCAUUUGAUUUUUAUGGGGGGGCUAGGAUGAAAAAUUUUGUCCUGCAUUUUUUUUUAGCUGUAAUCUCUGUCCUGCCUUUUUAUUUUUCACUCUGUUCGGUCCUGCCUUUUUUAUUUUUUUGUUUAUCCUGACUUUUUUUUACCUAAAUUGUCGUCCUGGCUUUUUUUUUUGCAAGUGUCUCAUCCUGCCUUUUUUUUUUUACUCAAAACUGCUGUCCUGCCUAUUUUUUUCAAAUUUCAUCCUAGCCCCCCCC